Molecule: ribosomal RNA, 518 nt
Filed under: Salmonella enterica subsp. enterica serovar Enteritidis
Lineage: Bacteria; Pseudomonadati; Pseudomonadota; Gammaproteobacteria; Enterobacterales; Enterobacteriaceae
Description: partial 23S ribosomal RNA
Rfam family: Bacterial large subunit ribosomal RNA
Source: RNAcentral
UAACUGGAGGACCGAACCGACUAAUGUUGAAAAAUUAGCGGAUGACCUGUGGCUGGGGGUGAAAGGCCAAUCAAACCGGGAGAUAGCUGGUUCUCCCCGAAAGCUAUUUAGGUAGCGCCUCGUGAAUUCAUCUCCGGGGGUAGAGCACUGUUUCGGCUAGGGGGCCAUCCCGGCUUACCAACCCGAUGCAAACUGCGAAUACCGGAGAAUGUUAUCACGGGAGACACACGGCGGGUGCUAACGUCCGUCGUGAAGAGGGAAACAACCCAGACCGCCAGCUAAGGUCCCAAAGUCAUGGUUAAGUGGGAAACGAUGUGGGAAGGCCCAGACAGCCAGGAUGUUGGCUUAGAAGCAGCCAUCAUUUAAAGAAAGCGUAAUAGCUCACUGGUCGAGUCGGCCUGCGCGGAAGAUGUAACGGGGCUAAACCAUGCACCGAAGCUGCGGCAGCGACACUGUGUGUUGUUGGGUAGGGGAGCGUUCUGUAAGCCUGUGAAGGUGUGUCGUGAGGCAUGCUGGAG